RNAcentral lists this ribosomal RNA (348 nucleotides) under uncultured eukaryote. RNAcentral describes it as "SSU rRNA". It matches the Rfam family "Eukaryotic small subunit ribosomal RNA", at positions 594 to 945 of the family's 1831-position model. The record is from RNAcentral.
AUAGCGUAUAUUAAAGUUGUUGCAGUUAAAAAGCUCGUAGUUGAACUUUGGGCCUGGCCGAGCGGUCCGCCGAAAGGCGUCGUACUGUUUGGGUGGGCCUUUCUUCUUGGUGAAUCGGGGUGCCCUUAGUUGGGUGCGUCGGGGAACCAGGACUUUUACCUUGAGAAAAUUAGAGUGUUCAAAGCAGGCGUUUCGCCCGGAUACAUUAGCAUGGAAUAAUGAAAUAGGACGUGCGGUUCUAUUUUGUUGGUUUCUAGAGUCGCCGUAAUGAUUAAUAGGGACAGUUGGGGGCAUUAGUAUUCAGUCGCUAGAGGUGAAAUUCUUGGAUUGACUGAAGACUAACUACUG